AGCUCAGCGUGCAAAUCAAGGCCCCUGGUCUUGACGUGUAGUCUAAAGAAGUAUUGCCAAUGGGGGCGCAGAUGAAAGCCUCUUGGAAAAGAGCACCACUGAGGGUGAGAGUCCUGCUCCAGCAUCUGCAGACCUCCAUGCACGGUGUACGUCUAAGAGUCCCGUUCCUCGAGACUGGAGCGCNAAGUGGGUGGNAAAUUUCAUCUAAAGCUCAAUAUUGGUUUGAGACCGAUAGUGAACAAGUACC
RNAcentral lists this ribosomal RNA (247 nucleotides) under Tovellia coronata. It matches the Rfam family "Eukaryotic large subunit ribosomal RNA", at positions 106 to 352 of the family's 3401-position model. Lineage: Eukaryota; Dinophyceae; Gymnodiniales; Tovelliaceae. The record is from RNAcentral.